CCUGCAUGAUCUGUGGAUAUGUCAUAUGUAUAGUCACUUUGCUCAUGGGACCCCAGUAGGAGGCCAAUGGCUGUAGAGGCCCUCCAACAUUCAAAUGCGCAGUAUGCUAUCAAGUCAUCAGCUGUCAAAUAUUGGCAGAGUGGUUCUCUUUCUAUUUGUAUGUUUUCUUGAAAAGAUCUUGGCUGCAGGUUGGACAUGAGAUGCAGGUAGCAUUCUACCUCAUCCAGAAGUAUGUUGAUAUGCAAUCUAUUGGAACUAAAUUAUAGAUAAUAUCUGCAUUUUCUGUUGAGCAUGUGAAAGGUUAUAUUUAUAUUGAAGCUGAUAGGGAACGUGAUGUCGUUGAGGUAUGUAAAGGGCUUUGUAGUAUAUAUUCUAGUAGAGUGGUGCUGGUUCCCAAAAAUGAAGUUUUGUAUCUGCUUUCUCUUCAAAUCAAAUCAAGUGAAUUUUCUAAGGGCACAUGGGUCCGCGUGAAGUAUGGGAAAUACAAAGGGGACCUUGCACAUGUUGUGGCUAUUGAUGAUGCAUGGAAGAGGCCACCGUAAAGCUGAUUCCAAGGAUCGAUCUCCAAGCCAUGGCACAAAAAUAUAGAAAUAAGGCGUGGGUUUUCAUUUACCCCAAAAAUAUAUGAGGAUUUUAAUCAAUUUUGCCUGAAUUUAGGCCUACAAGCACUUCAGCCUUUUGACGCCACUCGUGUUACGAGUAGACCAUAUAGAGAAUUUGUUUUUAUUUAUUUGAGACCAUUUUUAAUUUAUUGUAAUAAAUAUUAUAUUUUUUUUAUUAUGAAGUAAUAUAAAUUUUAUUUAAUAUUCAGUUUUAA
This is a long non-coding RNA of Magnolia sinica, 817 nucleotides long. RefSeq lists it as uncharacterized. The record is from RefSeq and is a predicted model, not a curated record. The transcript is spliced from 5 exons. Lineage: Eukaryota; Viridiplantae; Streptophyta; Magnoliopsida; Magnoliales; Magnoliaceae.